Molecule: ribosomal RNA, 522 nt
Filed under: uncultured bacterium
Lineage: Bacteria
Description: partial 16S ribosomal RNA
Rfam family: Bacterial small subunit ribosomal RNA
Source: RNAcentral
GAUGAACGCUGGCGGCGUGCCUAAUACAUGCAAGUCGAACGCUUUGUCUUUAAUUGAUAUGAAGAGCUUGCUCUGAUUUGAUUUUAUCUGACAAAGAGUGGCGAACGGGUGAGUAACACGUGGGUAACCUACCUCUUAGCAGGGGAUAACAUUUGGAAACAAGUGCUAAUACCGUAUAACACUAACAACCGCAUGGUUGUUAGUUGAAAGAUGGUUCUGCUAUCACUAAGAGAUGGACCCGCGGUGCAUUAGCUAGUUGGUAAGGUAAUGGCUUACCAAGGCGAUGAUGCGUAGCCGAGUUGAGAGACUGAUCGGCCACAAUGGGACUGAGACACGGCCCAUACUCCUACGGGAGGCAGCAGUAGGGAAUCUUCCACAAUGGGCGCAAGCCUGAUGGAGCAACGCCGCGUGUGUGAUGAAGGGUUUCGGCUCGUAAAACACUGUUAUAAGAGAAGAACGACAUUGAGAGUAACUGUUCAGUGUGUGACGGUAGCUUAUCAGAAAGGAACGGCUAAAUACGUG